UACGGAGGAUCCGAGCGUUAUCCGGAUUUAUUGGGUUUAAAGGGAGCGUAGGCGGGUUGUUAAGUCAGUUGUGAAAGUUUGCGGCUCAACCGUAAAAUUGCAGUUGAUACUGGCGACCUUGAGUGCAACAGAGGUAGGCGGAAUUCGUGGUGUAGCGGUGAAAUGCUUAGAUAUCACGAAGAACUCCGAUUGCGAAGGCAGCUUACUGGAUUGUAACUGACGCUGAUGCUCGAAAGUGUGGGUAUCAAACAGGAUUAGAUACCCGUGUGCUGACUGACU
Molecule: ribosomal RNA, 279 nt
Filed under: Bacteroides stercoris ATCC 43183
Lineage: Bacteria; Pseudomonadati; Bacteroidota; Bacteroidia; Bacteroidales; Bacteroidaceae
Description: partial 16S ribosomal RNA
Rfam family: Bacterial small subunit ribosomal RNA
Source: RNAcentral